GCYUAACACAUGCAAGUCGAACGAAGAUUGUAGUAAUACCGGUCUUUAGUGGCGAACGGGUGAGUAACGCCGUGGGUGACCUGCCCCGAAGUGUGGGAUACCAGUCCGAAAGGACUGCUAAUGCUGCAUAACAUCCAGGAGAUUAGAACCUGCUGGAUUAAAGGAUUUUUUCGCUUCGGGAGGGGCCUGCGUCCCAUCAGCUAGUUGGUAAGGUAAUGGCUUACCAAGGCGAUGACGGGUAGGGGACCUGAGAGGGUGACCCCCCACAAUGGAACUGAAACACGGUCCAUACACCUACGGGUGGCAGCAGUAGGGAAUAUUAGUAAUGGGCGAAAGCCUGAACUAGCAACCSCCSCGUGUGCGAAAGAAGGCCUUCGGGUUGUAAAGCACUUUUUGAGAAGGACCGAGGAAGGACCGGUACUCUCARAAUAAGUCUCGGCUAACUACGUGCCAGCAGCCGCGGUAAYAMGGCGAANUUNGUUUAACCNUCAGNCNNGNCCCCUUUGUAGG
RNAcentral lists this ribosomal RNA (510 nucleotides) under uncultured bacterium. Its description in RNAcentral is "partial 16S ribosomal RNA". It matches the Rfam family "Bacterial small subunit ribosomal RNA", at positions 46 to 542 of the family's 1533-position model. The record is from RNAcentral.